AUUGAACGCUGGCGGCAGGCCUAACACAUGCAAGUCGAGCGGAUGAAGGGAGCUUGCUCCUGGAUUCAGCGGCGGACGGGUGUGUAAUGCCUAGGAAUCUGCCUGGUAGUGGGGGAUAACGUCCGGAAACGGGCGCUAAUACCGCAUACGUCCUGAGGGAGAAAGUGGGGGAUCUUCGGACCUCACGCUAUCAGAUGAGCCUAGGUCGGAUUAGCUAGAUGGUGGGGUAAAGGCCUACCAAGGCGACGAUCCGUAACUGGUCUGAGAGGAUGAUCAGUCACACUGGAACUGAGACACGGUCCAGACUCCUACGGGAGGCAGCAGUGGGGAAUAUUGGACAAUGGGCGAAAGCCUGAUCCAGCCAUGCCGCGUGUGUGAAGAAGGUCUUCGGAUUGUAAAGCACGUUAAGUUGGGAGGAAGGGCAGUAAGUUAAUACCUUGCUGUUUUGACGUUACCAACAGAAUAAGCACCGGCUAACUUCGUG
Molecule: ribosomal RNA, 484 nt
Filed under: uncultured bacterium
Lineage: Bacteria
Description: partial 16S ribosomal RNA
Rfam family: Bacterial small subunit ribosomal RNA
Source: RNAcentral